AGCGGCGAGCGAACCGGGAGAAGCCCAGCUUGAAAAUCGCGUGUGCUUUUUCGGAGGCGGCGCGAGUUGUAGUCUGGAGAAGUGUCCUCUGCGGCGGACCCGGCCUAAGUCCCCUGGAAAGGGGCGUCAGAGAGGGUGAGAACCCCGUCGGGCCGGGACCCUGUUGCUCCACGAGGCGCUGUCGAGGAGUCGGGCUGUUUGGGAAUGCAGCCCUAAGCGGGAGGUAAAUUCCUUCCAAGGCUAAAUACGGGCGGGAGACCGAUAGCGAACAAGUACCGCGAGGGAAAGAUGAAAAGGACUUUGAAAAGAGAGUCAAAGAGUGCUUGAAAUUGCUGGGAGGGAAGCGAAUGGAGGCCUGGUGUGCGCCCCGGUCGGAUGCGGAACGGCUUUAGGGCUGGUCCGCCGCUCGACGCGGGGUGCUGGUCGGCGUGGGCUUCUCCGGCGGGAUAAAAGUUUUGGGCCGGUCGCUGCGCCUGGGUCCCUUCGGGGGCACCUGCGUACUCGGGACGCCGGCGUAGUGGGCUUUUCAUCCGACCCGUCUUGAAACACGGACCAAGGAGUCUAACAUGCACGCGAGUCGGUGGGCGGCAAACCCAAGGAGGGGAAGGAUUUAUUUUUCCUCUCGGACCGGCGAAAAUAACUUAACUGGUGUGAUCCUUUAGCCCUCGGGCGGGGUGCAACAUCGACCGACCAUGAGCAUCUCGAUGCGAAAGGUUCGAGUAAGAGCGUGCCUGUUGGGACCCGAAAGAUGGUGAACUAUGCCUGAGCAGGGCGAAGCCGGAGGAAACUCCGGUGGAGGCUCGUAGCGAUACUGACGUGCAAAUCGUUCGUCAGACUCGGGUAUAGGGGCGAAAGACUAAUCGAACCAUCUAGUAGCUGGUUCCCUCCGAAGUUUCCCUCAGGAUAGCCGGAGCAGGAGGAGUUUCGUCAGGUAAAGCCAAUGAUUAGAGGCAUCGGGGGUGAAACACCCUCGACCUAUUCUCAAACUUUAAAUAG
This 996-nucleotide ribosomal RNA is filed under the name Conocephalum conicum. Its description in RNAcentral is "partial large subunit ribosomal RNA". It matches the Rfam family "Eukaryotic large subunit ribosomal RNA", at positions 85 to 1072 of the family's 3401-position model. Lineage: Eukaryota; Viridiplantae; Streptophyta; Marchantiopsida; Marchantiales; Conocephalaceae. The record is from RNAcentral.